This 325-nucleotide ribosomal RNA is filed under the name uncultured eukaryote. RNAcentral's name for it is "partial 18S ribosomal RNA". It matches the Rfam family "Eukaryotic small subunit ribosomal RNA", at positions 1470 to 1796 of the family's 1831-position model. The record is from RNAcentral.
CCCUUAGAUGUUCUGGGCCGCACGCGCGCUACACUGAUGCAUUCAACGAGCCUAUCCUUGACCGACAGGUCCGGGUAAUCUUUGAAUCUGCAUCGUGACGGGGAUAGAUUAUUGCAAUUAUUAAUCUUCAACGAGGAAUGCCUAGUAGGCGCAAGUCAUCAGCUUGCGUCGAUUACGUCCCUGCCCUUUGUACACACCGCCCUUCGCUCCUACCGAUUGGGUGUGCUGGUGAAAUGUUCGGAUCGGCCGUUUGUCGCGGUUUCCGCGGCUCGUGGCUGAGAAGUUCAUUAAACCCUCCCACCUAGAGGAAGGAGAAGUCGUAACA